AACGAACGCUGGCGGCAUGCCUAACACAUGCAAGUCGAACGAGACCUCCGGGUCUAGUGGCGCACGGGUGCGUAACGCGUGGGAACCUGCCCUUAGGUCCGGAAUAACUCCCCGAAAGGGGUGCUAAUACCGGAUAAUGUCUUCGGACCAAAGAUUUAUCGCCUUUGGAUGGGCCCGCGUUGGAUUAGCUAGUUGGUAGGGUAAAAGCCUACCAAGGCGACGAUCCAUAGCUGGUCUGAGAGGAUGAUCAGCCACACUGGGACUGAGACACGGCCCAGACUCCUACGGGAGGCAGCAGUGGGGAAUAUUGGACAAUGGGCGAAAGCCUGAUCCAGCAAUGCCGCGUGAGUGAUGAAGGCCUUAGGGUUGUAAAGCUCUUUUACCCGGGAUGAUAAUGACAGUACCGGGAGAAUAAGCUCCGGCUAACUCCGUG
RNAcentral lists this ribosomal RNA (433 nucleotides) under uncultured bacterium. RNAcentral's name for it is "partial 16S ribosomal RNA". It matches the Rfam family "Bacterial small subunit ribosomal RNA", at positions 29 to 507 of the family's 1533-position model. The record is from RNAcentral.